RNAcentral lists this ribosomal RNA (819 nucleotides) under Triticum aestivum (bread wheat). RNAcentral's name for it is "partial small subunit ribosomal RNA". The record is from RNAcentral. Lineage: Eukaryota; Viridiplantae; Streptophyta; Magnoliopsida; Poales; Poaceae.
AUGUUGCCUUACCACCCUAACCCUCACGGCUUCUGGAUCUCCCGAGAACCGCCCGCGCAGGUGCCAAACCCUGCCAGCGGCUUCGCCAUGGCGCCUCCCGCGCAUCUGGACCAUCAGAUUCAGCACUACGACCACUUCUUCCCCGGCCACGGCAAUCAGUUCAACUCCGAGACGCUGGAGGCGGUGCUCAUGAGGCCACGUCCGCCGGCUCCUCCUCUGGUGGAGAUGCCGCCGGCGAACGAGGCAAGAACCGGCGCAGUGCAGGCCGCCGGCACCGGACACGCCAGGGCCAGGAAGAGGCCGUUCAGGACGGACCGGCACAGCAAGAUCCGGACGGCGCAGGGCGUCCGGGACCGCCGGAUGCGGCUCUCCCUCGACGUCGCGCGUGACUUCUUCGCGCUGCAGGACCAGCUUGGCUUUGACAAGGCCAGCAAGACGGUGGACUGGCUGCUCACCCAGUCCAAGCCAGCCAUCGACCGCCUAUCCGAGUCCUCUCGGCUCAACGCCGCUAGAGCGGGAGAAGAUGGCAUGUCGUCGCUAUCAUCGGUGGAGCGUGAAGGCCGCCGGCUCAAGGAGACGGAGCUGGCUGCCGGGUCGGGAAAGGGGGAAGCCGAUGCGGAGAAAGCGAUGAAGGCGAGGGGUGGUGGAACGUCGGUGCUCAUGGAGCACAGACGCGAGAACGGCGGCCUCAUGUCGGCUUCGAUGACUGGUGGGGAGUACUACGACCUCGGCGAGAUGAUGUGCAUCAACGCAGGAGAAUGCGACGACGAUGGCGAUUACGACGAAGACGGUGAUUUCUUGGACGGUAUGCAAUACUAG